This 497-nucleotide ribosomal RNA is filed under the name uncultured bacterium. Its description in RNAcentral is "partial 16S ribosomal RNA". It matches the Rfam family "Bacterial small subunit ribosomal RNA", at positions 28 to 507 of the family's 1533-position model. The record is from RNAcentral.
GAUGAACGCUGGCGGCGUGCCUAAUACAUGCAAGUCGAGCGAACAGAUUAUGAGCUUGCUCCUCUGACGUUAGCGUCGGACGUGUGAGUAACACGUGGAUAACCUACCUAUAAGACUGGGAUAACGUCGGGAAACCUGAGCUAGUUCCGUAUAAUAUAUUGAACCUCAUUGUUCAAUAAUGAAAGACGGAUUUGCUGUCACGUAUAGAUGGAUCCUCGCCGAAUUAGCUAUUUGGUAAUGGAACGGCUUACCAAGGCAACGAUGCGUAGCCGACCUGAGAGGGUGACCGGCAACCCUGGAACUGAGAAACGGUCCAGACUCCUCCGGGAGGAGGCAGUAGGGAAUCUUCCGAAAUGAGCGAAAGCCUGCCGGAGAAACGCCGCGUGGGUGAUGAAGGUCUUCGAACGUUAAAACCCUGUUAUUGGGGAGAACCAAAUUUGUAAGUAACUAUGCACACCUUGACGGUACCUAAUCAGAAAGCCACGGCUAACUACGUG